This 472-nucleotide ribosomal RNA is filed under the name Streptococcus sp. oral taxon 431. RNAcentral's name for it is "bacterial SSU rRNA". It matches the Rfam family "Bacterial small subunit ribosomal RNA", at positions 28 to 485 of the family's 1533-position model. The record is from RNAcentral. Lineage: Bacteria; Bacillati; Bacillota; Bacilli; Lactobacillales; Streptococcaceae.
GACGAACGCUGGCGGCGUGCCUAAUACAUGCAAGUAGAACGCUGAAGGAGGAGCUUGCUUCUCCGGAUGAGUUGCGAACGGGUGAGUAACGCGUAGGUAACCUGCCUGGUAGCGGGGGAUAACUAUUGGAAACGAUAGCUAAUACCGCAUAAGAGUAGAUAUUGCAUGAUAUCUGCUUGAAAGGUGCAAUUGCAUCACUACCAGAUGGACCUGCGUUGUAUUAGCUAGUUGGUGAGGUAACGGCUCACCAAGGCGACGAUACAUAGCCGACCUGAGAGGGUGAUCGGCCACACUGGGACUGAGACACGGCCCAGACUCCUACGGGAGGCAGCAGUAGGGAAUCUUCGGCAAUGGACGGAAGUCUGACCGAGCAACGCCGCGUGAGUGAAGAAGGUUUUCGGAUCGUAAAGCUCUGUUGUAAGAGAAGAACGAGUGUGAGAGUGGAAAGUUCACACUGUGACGGUAUCUACCA